Long non-coding RNA from Triticum aestivum (bread wheat), 2760 nucleotides. RefSeq lists it as uncharacterized. The transcript has 4 exons. The record is from RefSeq and is a predicted model, not a curated record. NCBI's taxonomy places the organism in Eukaryota, Viridiplantae, Streptophyta, Magnoliopsida, Poales, Poaceae.
AGAAAAAAAUAGCUCAGCCGCCCGCACCACCCUGCCUCCUCGAUCCAUCUCCACCUCCAGCCGCCGCCACCUCCUGCCCCGCCCUGCCUCACCGCACCCCUCCCGACACCGCCGUGCGCCGCCCGUCCCCGACACCGCCACCUCCUGCCCCGCCCCGCCCCGCACCCCCUGCCGCCUCCACCUCCCGCCCCGCCCCGCCGCGCGCCGCCCCUUGAACUUCGUCGACGGCCGAAUCCAGGAUAGUGGCGGCGGGACCUUGCAAGGCGUUAGGGGUUCUCGGGGGCGGCACCAUGGUUGCUCUGGCGUGCUGCUAGAAGAGAAGGAGGGAGGACGAGGGAGAGGGAGAGAGAAAACUGGGAGAAAGGAGAGAAACGAGGGUAGGCACGGGCUCCCAGGGGGAGAUGGACGAGGACGAGGAUGGUCUGGUGCGCUGCUGGUGCAGGGAGGGCAGUAGCUGCUAAUUUCAUGUGGAGGACACGCAGGGGCGGACGGCGAGCGAAUUGAAUCUGGACAUUCACCCAGGGAAGCAACAUAUAUCUUCUGAUCUUUGUCUUGCCUCCGGUGCAAUUUCAGUUUGUCCAGUAGUGCUCUUGACAAAUUUCUAGAAUGAAGAAUGAAAUACUUGGAGAUAGGCCACCAAUUCGGUGUUGAACUCAGGUUUACACAUUGGUGCACAUGAUGUGUCAAUCAAACAUACUAUAGCCCUCAUAUAAUGGCUACUGCUGUUUGCAAAGUAAGAAUCGAAUGAUGCAAAGAGAUUUAUGCUGUAGAAGAACUUACAAGGUAGUCUCCGAAGCCCUUUCAUUUGAAUUUGACGAAAUUCACAACCACAUAGGUCACACACAAUUUAAGCCUCCAUGGUAUUAAAUAUGCCAUGUCUGUCAGUCCUCUGUUUAGAAAUGUUUUAGUCACAUAUUCUUAUGUAUUACGGUAUGACAAAAAUAGAACUUCAGGCCGUUGUUAACCGUGUUUCUCCUUUGUUUUGGUCUUCUCUUAAUUUGUUUGUUUGCUUCAGGAUGCCCCUAAUUUUCUAACAAAUGCAUGUGAGUAAAGAUUACAAUGGCUCAAAUAGCAUGUAGAUUUAAUAAACCGAAUAAUUGAUUGUUGGUGUUGUUUUACUGAUUAGCUUAGAAGCAGAGACUUAGCAUAGGGGACUGCCGCUUGAAGAGAUGCAAAUGUUGCAACUUCACCAGAGGUUCUAUGUUGGAAGUUGUGUGUGUCGGUGGUUCAAGGUUCUUUCCCUUAUCCUAUUUUUCUCUCUGCAGUUUCUGUGUAAUAUAUGAUUUAUUCGUUCUAAAAGUUGUAUGGUAACGGGCGAGCCUAAUCUGAAAAUAUAUCAGGAAAAAGCAUGUAAGCUGAAGCCUGGAAAAAUGCAUUAUGAAAAAUGCCUUGAUAUUCAGUAGCAGUAGUGAGAACAUGUAUAUAUUCUGAUGGUGAAUUUUUUUAGAUAUACAGUAGCAGUAGCAGUAGAAAUGCGCUAGGGGAUGUGAACGCCAUAGAAAUAGCAGAGGCCUACCUUGAUAUCUGAAAAACACCUUGAUAUUCAGUAGCAGUAGCAGAAUGAAAUGCUCCAGGUUUUCUGUUAUAUAGUCCUUUUGCCCUGUGUUUAAUUAUUACAUGCGCUGCACACUGAUCCAUGUAUAUAUUCUGUUGGUGAAAAGUUUUGACUAUCGAGUUUCGUCAGAUAUGAGUUUUAGAAAUUCUCAGUUACUUUUCUAUGCCUACAUUCAUCUCUGAACCGUUGUGAUGGAGAUUGUAAUAUUGUGCUUAAAAUAUGUCAGUCCAUGUGCGAGAUCUUCUUUUCAAGAUGGCAACCAUGAUUGUAUCAGAUAUGUGUAAUUAAUGUGUUUGCAUUAGAGCUUUCAUAGGGAAAUUGCAUAAGUUCUUAUAAAACCAUCUUGUCACAGUCUGAAUGGCAGCUGCAAGUGCCAGGUAGCAGCUUGCACUAGGUUGAUUUGAAUAGUUACUCUUCUUUUGCAUUGGUACUGAAACUUGGCAGUUCACAAGGAUUGGCACCAUGGACUGGAGAAUUGUGGCAAACAACAUGGACACACCAGGGGCAGGGGCUGCAUGCUGCCAAGUCCAAGGCGACUGCGAAGAAGACUGGGCUCGAUGUAGUGACCGAGGAGGCGCAGGUCGCAGGAAACAGAGAAGCUGAUUAUUCUGUUUGCAUGACGGGUAUCCCAAAUUCUAAUUCAAACAUUAGUGAUGAUAUAACAAUGUCGUCUGCCAAAUUGUGAUUCGAGCGAGCCUAGCUUAGCUGGGAACCACCGGAGAUUGUGUGGUGCACGGGAGACAGAGUCUCCACCGGAUAUUUUGUCGUGCCCACUAACAACAAUGACAUGGAUAGUGAAGUCAUUGCUGGACAUGAUUGCAUUAUUUUUAAUCUGUUGGGUAGUCCUAUUUGGUGGAUUGUAUCUUCAAUAUAUCCGAUCUUUCUCUACAAGGAGCCUACAGUUUGUAAUGUUGUAUUUCUAAAGAAACCCUGGCAUCAGUUGAAAUUGUUAUCUUAAUCCGCUGCAAAAUAUGUAAUCUUGUUUUUGUCUUGAUGAUAUGAAGAGGAUGGAUGUAUUGUUGUGGCAUCUUAAAAUUAAUAGUGAUCUCGAAGUUUUCUUACAAUACAAUGCAUUGUGGUAAUCCAAGAUUGUGGCGUCUGAUUUGUUUUGUCUUGGCAAUGGAACCGCCAUUCCGAUCAUUUUAAAAAAAGAGGAUAGGUGUGUGAUUGUCAGAGUAACCACACCACAAAGAAAAGAAAGUGGC